GCCCCAGUAGCUUAGUGGUAGAGUACCUGACUUGUAAUCAGGAGGUCGGGAGUUCAAAUCUCCCCUGGGGCU
This 72-nucleotide transfer RNA is filed under the name Nanobdellota archaeon. Its description in RNAcentral is "tRNA-Thr". It matches the Rfam family "tRNA". From Rfam's summary of the family: Transfer RNA (tRNA) molecules are approximately 80 nucleotides in length. The record is from RNAcentral. Lineage: Archaea; Nanobdellati; Nanobdellota.